GACGAACGCUGGCGGCGUGCUUAACACAUGCAAGUCGAGCGGUAAGGCCCUUUCGGGGGUACACGAGCGGCGAACGGGUGAGUAACACGUGGGUGACCUGCCCUCAGCUCUGGGAUAAGCCUGGGAAACCGGGUCUAAUACUGGAUAUGACUCCAUGACGCAUGUUGUGGGGUGGAAAGCCUUGUGCGGCUGAGGAUGGGCCCGCGGCCUAUCAGCUUGUUGGUGGGGNGAUGGCCUACCAAGGCGACGACGGGUAGCCGGCCUGAGAGGGCGACCGGCCACACUGGGACUGAGACACGGCCCA
RNAcentral lists this ribosomal RNA (304 nucleotides) under uncultured bacterium. RNAcentral's name for it is "bacterial SSU rRNA". It matches the Rfam family "Bacterial small subunit ribosomal RNA", at positions 28 to 333 of the family's 1533-position model. The record is from RNAcentral.